Non-coding RNA from Camellia sinensis, 2607 nucleotides. The record is from RefSeq and is a predicted model, not a curated record. Lineage: Eukaryota; Viridiplantae; Streptophyta; Magnoliopsida; Ericales; Theaceae.
GGCUACCACUAUUAAGAGAUUGGUGUUUACUUGCUUUGUUUAUUGUCUUUAACAAGAGAGAAAUGAUAUGAUAUUUUCAUCUAGUUGUUCUCCAGCUACUGUUAUUGUGAGAAAGGUUGAAUCUUUUGUGAGAUUUAGGUUGUUAUCUGUAAACAAGUUUAAGGAGAAUGGUGCUAAUGCUUAGUUUCUGGAUUCAUGGCAUCUCACUCCUUCUGUGUUAAGGUCUCAUGUUCCCUGAUUUGUUUACCUUCCCUCUCAUAUAGCCUGAUUUGAUAUUGGUUUGUUGUCUGGCCUGCUUUGUUGCUCUAGUAGUGUGGCUGAGCUGGUCUGAAUUGUUGGUCUGUGUUUUGCUGGUCUGAGCUGCUAGUGUGGCUGAGCUGCUAUGUGCUUUGUUGGUUUGAUUGCUAUACUACAUCUGCUUGCUGUGCUGUAUUUAUUUUAUGUGUUGUCCUAUUUACUAUGCUAUGUUGUCUUGUUUGCUGUGUUGCAUCUGUUCUGCUAUGCUAGUGUUGUUUGCUGCUGUAUUGCAGUUCUGUCAUACUAGCUUGAUGCAAAUCUGCUGUUAAGCUGUGUACUGUUGUCAUGUUGCUCUGCAAAGUUGUUGUGCUAGUGUUUGGCAUUAUGUUCUGUUGUAAUUCCACUUGUUUUGGUUGUUUUCUGCUUCUUUGUUGUUCCUGUAGGUUAGUGUGUUACCCAUAGUAGGUGGCAUUCAUUAUUAUUAGGUGGCUAUCAUUGUUACUAUUCUCAUAUGCAAGUUUUAUUAGUUGGCUAUCAUUUGAAUGGUUGGUGGCAUUCAUUUGAAUGCUAAAGAUGAAUGGUAGGUGACUUUAAGUAUAUAUAUAUAUAUAUAUAUUUAUGUACAGACGUUUUAUCUCUCUUUUGGUAUCAUUUGUUCAAGAUAUACUUGUGAAUAAGUCAUCUUCGAAUUGGUGCCAAACCCAAAGUUCCCAAAGCUCUGGUUCUCUUUUUCACAGCUCCGACUCUCCCACAGCUCAGGUUCGUUGUGUUCAUAUGUGGAGCAUUGGCUUCACAAGUUAGUUCAAAUUUUAUAGUUCAAAUUUUGAAGUUCAAGGUAUUGGUUUGUUGCCCUGGUGUAAUUUGGUGACCAAUUAUGUGUGAAGAUAUCUUAUUUAGUUAUAGAGUUUGGAAUCUAUGGUAUUGGCAAUACACCUAUGACAAUUUUGUAUAUCACUUCUUUUUCCAUAAUUAAUGUUCCUUAAAUAACCGAAGUUAAUAAGAUAAUUGUUAAAUCUGACUAAACAAUUCCAAAUUCAGGCUUAGAUUGGCGUAAUCAUCUGCAUGUUGUUGUUGGUUCUAAUUUAUAAAAUAAAAAAAUAAAAAAAAAUCUACGGAACCUAUGAAUAUAAAUAAAAUACAUUCAUAAACGAAAUUAGUGUACAACUACAAUACAUUCAUAAACAAAACUAAAAUAUAAAUAAAAUUAGUAUGCAUAAUAUACAAGCUCAACAAAUAGUUCACCAAUUUUUCAUCUCUCUUGCUUCAAAUAUAGUUGUACUAUUGUGUGUUCAUUUCAUUAUUGUAAUAGUAAAUAAGAAGCCUUUAAAUGGGUAGGUAUUUUGGAGAUAAGUAAUAGUGGUGACAAUGAAUGGAAUGAUGAUCAUGAUGAUGAAGAUGUUGAAGAUGAAGGUAGCACAUCUCAAACCCAACAAAAUAAUAAUAUGCUCUUAGCAACGACGACAAUAGUUGUAGUGACAUAUGCGGCAAAUUAUUUGAUAAAAGAACCAUGUAGGACAUCUUCUCUAACAGGGUAGAAGUGGAUGGUAGAAUUACAAGAAGGGAAUCAAACAAGAAUAUUUGAAAAUUUUCGAAUCGAAAGAGAGGUAUUUUAUGAAUCGUGUGAUUUGUUAUAGAAUAACUAUGGCCUUCAAAGUGGACAAAAAGUCUCGGUUCCGGAGCAGGUUGCAAUAUUGUUGUAUAUUGUUGGUGGUGACAUUCGAAACAGAAAUGUCCAAGAAAGAUUUCAACAUUCCGGAGAGACAAAGUCAAAAUACUUCAAGCUGGUGUUAAAAGUUGUUACAAUGAUGUCUAUUGAUUGGGUAAGGCCUCAACCGAGAAAUGAUGUGCAUCUAUAUAUUAGAAGCAACCACAGAUACUAUCCUCAUUUCAAGGUAAUAAUUAACUACAAGUGGAACUUGGGUGUUACAUAUAAUUAAUGUUGUUAGGAUAUUUCUAAUAAUGAAUAAAUAUAUUUUUAUUCUAAAUUUUGUAAUAGGAUUGUAUUGGAACAAUUAAUGGAACACACAUCAAAGCAUAUAUAUCUUCAGAUAAGCAACUUGUUUAAUUGAUGGCAAUGGGGUGUGCGACUCAAAGCAUAAUGGCUGUAUGUGACUUCGAUAUAUGUUUCACAUUUGCUUGCCAGGAUCGAAAGGAAGUGCACACGAUACUCGGAUCUUCUUAGAUACAAUUAGGAAUCCUAGUUAUAAUUUUCCAAAACCAGAACGAGAUGAGUUUUACUUGGUGGCUGCUGGGUAUCCAAACAUGAAAGGAUAUCUUACACCUUACAAAGGAGAAAGAUACCAUCUAGCUCAAUUUGAACAUGGUCAACCCUCCCAAAAUGCACAAGAAAAAUUCAACCAAGCACAUGAA